Molecule: transfer RNA, 70 nt
Filed under: Mesocricetus auratus (golden hamster)
Lineage: Eukaryota; Metazoa; Chordata; Mammalia; Rodentia; Cricetidae
Source: Rfam by way of RNAcentral
GAGCGAUGGCUCCAUGGUUAAGAGCACUGGCUGCUCUUCCAGAGGACCUGGGUUCCAUUCCCAGCGCUCA